RNAcentral lists this unclassified non-coding RNA (215 nucleotides) under Hevea brasiliensis (rubber tree). Lineage: Eukaryota; Viridiplantae; Streptophyta; Magnoliopsida; Malpighiales; Euphorbiaceae. The record is from RNAcentral.
AAUACAUUAUGCAGCUUUUAGUUUAGUUCUUCUUCUUCUCCUGCCGACAAACUUGAGGACUUCAUCAAUAAGAAUAACAGGUGCAGAAAGCAAGAUGACUAGAAGCCAUUCAUAAAGGCUUAGUGGGACAAUACCAAAUAUAUCUGCUAGGAAAGGAACAUAGAGUAUCACGCUAUGUAGGGCAAACGAGAGUGACAUUGCAACAAGAAGCCAAG